GGCAUCUCGAAGGCUGAAGAGGGUGUAGCUGCAGCAGGCCAUCAGUGAAAUGAACACUCGGGCAAAAAGCCGAAGGCGGUCAGCAGCACGAAAUCGCGCAGGCUAAGCCAAGCCAAGAAGAAGGCAGGGGCUCCGGCCGGCGGGGGAAUGUGGCAAUCAACAGACUGGGGUAGAGGUUUCUGGGAGGAAGCCCACACCGGGAAGUGCUCUUCGCGGCCCGAUGUAGCAAGUAUGCGGGCCGGUGACACAGCCCGAUCACCGCCAAUGUGUGCCUUAAAAAGAGUCAGACUGCAUGGAAAACCUGUUCUUCUGCAGACCUCACUGCUUAGGAGAAGGUGAAAUUUAAGGGGAAAAAAACCGAGUGAGUCAAUUCACAGGGAGCUACUGAGUCAACAGCAGUCUGCACAGCAUGGCCGCGGCAGCGGGGUGCAGACGCUGUCUGAGAAUGAUUGUUCCUUCCUGCGCCUGCACCUUUACCCCUACCAACCUCCUCCAGCUGCCUCCCCACGACUGGGACCUCUCUGCGGGGAGAGGAGAUGAUUCACAGGGCAGCACCUCUCUUAUUUUUAAUUAUCCUAAUCUUUUAACCAUCUGUUUUGUUUUGCGAUGUAUCUGACCUUGGUACAGCAAUACAAAUAUGUGUAAUUUACAAUAAAUGCAUCUAUAUUGGG
Long non-coding RNA from Mustela lutreola (European mink), 671 nucleotides. RefSeq lists it as uncharacterized. The record is from RefSeq and is a predicted model, not a curated record. NCBI's taxonomy places the organism in Eukaryota, Metazoa, Chordata, Mammalia, Carnivora, Mustelidae. The transcript has 3 exons.